Molecule: RNA transcript, 5835 nt
Organism: Malania oleifera
Lineage: Eukaryota; Viridiplantae; Streptophyta; Magnoliopsida; Santalales; Ximeniaceae
Exons: 3
Source: RefSeq, a predicted model, not a curated record
GAGGAACUUAUAUUUCCUUGACGAUUAAGAAAUCAGAAGAACUUAUAUUUCCUUGAUGAUUAAUCUAGCAAAAGGAGGAUGGCUAGAGUCGUCAUUUUAAUGCUUUUCCUACAACACUAAAUUAGUAAAUUUGGAAAGAUUAAUGUCGUGACAAAGUUUUUUUCACAUCAAGUACGAAUCUUGUUGCAGGGGUUUUUUCAAUGUUGGAGUUUAUUCCAAAAACGUACUCUAGAGGGGCAACCCACCUUCGAGCGAGGUUUUCAAGUGGUCUAAUUUUCUCAUCGCACCUUCUAAAGAAAUUUUAAGAUUGGGAAAAAGGUCUAUAUCGCAACAAUUACCCCUCUUUUCAUUCGUAUAAUCAAGGUGUUGCCAUCAUAGGAAAUCAUGGCUGCUCAAGGAUGGCGAUGCAAGAAUUUGCUUCACUGGUGAUGAACUUCUCCAAUCAAGAGCUAUGGAGCCGCAAAUCGUGAGCAAAAUACGACAUCAUAAGUGGUUAGUGUUCAUCCCCCACCAUAGUCAAUGUAGCUUUACUCUCUCUCUCUCUCUUUCUCUCUUUGGAAAUUGUUUUUCUUUGACAACAAACUCCAAUCUCUCUAGUGAUGAGUUCUAUUAUUACCAUAAUCAAUGUAGCUUUACUCUCUCUCUUUCUCUCUUUGAAAAUUGCUUUUCUCCGACAAACUCCAAUCUCUCUAACAAUGAGUUUUAUUAUGAGAGUCCUAUUAUUACCACAAGCUCCGUUAUCUUCAACAAUUUAAAUUUUUUUAAAUAAUAAAUUUUUCAUAAAAUUUUUCAAGAUAUAAAAUAAAAUUAAAAAUAAGAAUUUUACUUUAAAAUAUUCCAUUUCAUUGAAAGACUCAUUCCGUAUUAUUAUCCAAGCAUAAUAAUCUUUCUCAUUCUUUCCAUUCAUGCAUGUCAUUUUAGUACUAACGUCUUUACUAUCAUAUAAAAGUUUGAAAAUCCUUGUUUUCUCUUUGUGCAUUCUUUUGAUCUCAAUAAACCUUUCUAAAAAAAAAAACAAUAUCCUAAGCAUAUUAUGCCAUUUUACGAUCAUAUUAUACCUUUUUACUUAUUGAUCUUGUAGAAAUCCUGAGUAUUUUCAUGUAUCUUGAGUAAAUUAGGAAAGUGUAAAUAUAGAAGAUUGUAUAUUGUUGAGGGUGAUUCUGUUAGGAGAUUGUUUCCAUAGUUAGAACUUCCGAUUGUAUUAUAUAUUGUAAAUUGGGCUGUACAAAUUCAUUCAAAAAAAAUAGAAAUUAUAUUUUUUUUUCAUGGUAUCAAAGCUAGGGUUUCUAAACCUUAGCUAACAUUGGCCGUCGACACCGUCAACAGCAGAGGGUCGAGUUCCUCUGAAAAUCUCGAUGGUGACUUUGAAGCCACAUCCAUCAUGGGUUCGAAUGGGUUAGACAACUCAGCGUUUCCACUCUCGGUGGAGAAAUUGAAUGGAAAAAAUUUCUGUGAGUGGGUUCAAUCCAUCAAACUUGUGAGCAAAGGCAAAGGGAGGUUAGGUUAUCUUACUGGCGAGAGGAAGAAGCCCGCCUCAAUUCCAUGGUAACCGCGUGGCUCGUAAACUCAAUGAAGCCUUCAAUUGGAAAGAUCUAUCUGUUCUUACCAACGAUGAAGGACGUUUUGGACCCUGUUCGUGAGAUGUACUCCAAUGUCGAGAGUUACUCUCAGAUCUUCGAGAUGAAGACUCGAUUGUGGAAGAUGAGGCAAGGUGAGAGAGAUGUCACCAAGUACUUCAUGGAGAUGACACACCUCUGGCAAGAGCUCGACCUGAGCAUCGAGGAGGAGUGGGAGUGCUCCGGCGACAGCACCCGGUACAAGAAACGACUUGAGAACGAAAGGGUCUUUGAGUUCUUGGCUGGCCUCAACAGUGAACUGAAUGAUGUGCGAGGAAGGAUACUUGGCCGACAACCCCUUCCAUCGAUCCGAGAAGUAUUCGCAGAGAUGAGGCGUGAGGAGAGCAGAUGGAAAGUGAUGCUGAAGACACCUAUGAGCCAUAUUGGGCUUGAAAUAUCAGCCCUAAAAGCGAACCAAAUGGGCCUGAAGUUUCGACCCUAAUUUCAAAAGGCCCUACGGGAUAUGGGCAAAAGCCACAUAAAGGGAGAUUAUGGUGUGAGCACUAUCGCAAGCCAAGUCAUUCAAAAGAUACUUGCUUGGAAAUUCAUGGAAAGCCUGCAGAUUGGAAGCCGAGGCAAAAUAAGAAAAAAAAUCGUGGCUAUCAGGCAACUACUGAUAAUUCAACUGAGAAGUCACAAGGCAAGAAAAAUAACAAUACCACUCCUAGUGGCAUAUUCAGUCCAGAGCAGUUGGACCAGCUAUAUAAAAUGUUCUCCUCCAUUCAAACAUUGGGUCAGUCUUCCACUAGUUCUUUAGCCCACUGAGGUAAUUUUCUGUCAGCCCUAAAUACUACAUCCCAUUAUAAAUCACCAUGGAUAAUUGACUCGAGUGCCUCUGAUCAUAUGACUGAUUCUUAUCAUCCGUUCUCAUCUUAUUCAACGUGUGCUGGAAAUUUGAGAGUUGCAGAUAGAUCUCUCUCCUAUGUUGCAGGCAAAGGAAGUAUUCAAAUAUUCGAUUCUAUAACUUUAAAAUCUUUCCUACAUGUCCCUAAGUUGUCUUACAAUUUGUUAUCCGUUAGCCAAUUGACAAAAGAUUCCAAUUGCUCUACUAAAUAUGUUUCAUCUCACUAUGUUUUCCAGGACCUAUCAUCGGGGAAUACGAUUGGCAGUGUUAAGGCGUGUGAGGGACUCUACUACUUUGAGGAGGGAAAUACGAGUGAACAAUGUAAUGCUGCAAUUUGUGAUUCUGCAUCUAUUUCUAGAGAUAGUGAAAUUUUGUUAUGACAUUUUAGGAUGGGUCAUCCAAAUUUUCAAUAUUUAAGACGUUUAUUUCCUUCCAUUUGUUCUAAUAAAACGUCUUCUGAUUUUCAAUGUGAAAUUUUUGAGCUUGCAAAACACCAACGUAAUUCCUUCCCAAAGUCCACAUAUAAACCAUCCUGCCCAUUUACUAUGAUUCACAGUGAUAUAUAGGGGCCUUCACGCUAUCUUAAUUGCACUCAUACGAAAUGGUUUGUCACUUUUAUUAAUGAUCAUACUCGUAUUUGUUGGGCUUACUUGUUGAAAGAUAAAACUGAAGUCCAUUCUAUUUUCGUCAAUUUUCACUCAAUGAUUCAAACACAAUUCCACACUCACAUCCAAAUUUUACGUAUUGAUAGUGGUACAGAAUAUUUCAACACUAUCUUGGGACAUUAUCUUCAAGAAAAUGAAAUUGUACAUCAAAGUUCAUGUGUGGAUACCCUUCAACAAAAUGAGAUUGCUGAACGUAAAAACAGACAUAUACUUGAAGUAGCUCGGGCGUUGAUGUUCACUACAAACAUAAAGAACUAUUUUUGGGGUAAUGCCAUUUUAACAGCUAUACAUCUCAUUAAUCAAAUGUCAAGUCCAGUUCUUUCUUUUUCCACUCCUCUCCAGAAAUUCCAAGAAUAUUUCCCCAACUCUCGACUCCACUCCAACCUCUCUCUCUGAAAAUCUUUAGUUGUACUGCCUUUGUUCAUAUUCAUGCUCACAAUAGGGAUAAAUUGGAACCUUGUACCAUUAAAUGCGUCUUUAUUGGUUACUCUCCUACUCAGAAAGGUUACAAAUGUUAUGAUCCUGUCUCAAAAUGAAUGUUUGCUAGCGUUGAUGUCACGUUUUUUGAAACCACUCCUUAUUUCCAAAAGCCCUCUCUUUAGGGGGAGAAGUGAAGUGAAGAUUAGUUCUUUGAUUUCCAUACUACUAAAUCUAAGCCAUCUACUAAGUCUCCCAUUGCAUCAUUUCCUGACCUGUUACAUGCACAUGAUCACUUAAACUCUAGGGGAGAUGCUAAAAAAAAAUUAAUAAGGAAACACUUGUUUACUCAAGAAAGCCAAAAACAAAGAACAUGGAGAAUCUCACACCCGAGGUACCAAAAGAGUUAGAACCGGUAAUAGCUCUGAGCAACCAUGAGUCCACGCCUAGUCCCGGUCAGGUAAUAAAUGGCUAUGAGCUUUCGUCUGAUAAGUCUGCACCUGAUGACAUCAAUUUACCUAUUACAGUCAGAAAAUAAAUUAGGUCAUGUACUCUAUAUCCCUGGUCAAAAUACAUGUCUUAUAAAACCCUGUCUAUAGGGUAUCGUGCUUUUACCUCUAACCUUGAUAGGAUAAAAAUUCCAAAGAAUAUUCCAGAAGCCCUGGAAAUCCUUGAAUGGAGGGAAGCUGUCAUGGAAGAAAUGUGGGCUUUGAAAAAAAAAUGGAACUUGAGACGUUAUGAAUUUGCCGAGAGGAAAGAAGCCAAUAGGUUGCAAAUGAGUCUUCACAGUGAAAUAUAAAGCUGAUGGGACAGUUGAAAGAUAUAAAUCUAGACUUGUUGCAAAAGGGUUUACACAGACCAAUGACAUUGACUACACGGAGACAUUUGCACCAGUAGCGAAAUUGAACAUAGUUCGGGUCUUCUUGUCCUUGGCAGCUACUUAGAUUGGCCACUAGAGCAACUCGACAUUAAGAAUGUUUUUCUAAAUGACGAGUUAGAAGAAGAAGAAGUUUAUAUGACUAUACCACCAGGUUUUAGUACGAGAGGUGAAGAAGACAAAGUACGUAAACUCAAGAAGUCCUUGUACGGACUCAAGCAAUCUCCUAGAGCAUGGUUUGACAGAUUUGUGAAAGUGAUAAAGAAUCAGGGAUAUCGAUAAAGGCAAUUAGAUCACACUAUGUUCUUCCAAUAGUCUAAAAGUGGUAAGAAAAUAAUUCUGAUAGUGUAUGUUGAUGAUAUAAUCCUAACUGGAGAUGAUACAGUGGAGAUGGAAAGAUUAAAGAAAGUCCUAACUAUUGAGUUUGAAAUUAAAGACCUAGGACAAAUGUGAUACUUCUUGGGAAUGGAAGUUGUUAGAUCAAAGAAAGGUAUCAGUGUCUCUCAGCGAAAAUAUAUCCUUGAUCUCCCAAUCGAACCUAGCAUGCUUGGAUGCAAACCUAGUGAAACCUCGAUUGAAGCCAUAAAAAGGGUUAAAGACUGCGGAAUAACAAUUGAAAAGGAAAGGUAUCAGAAAUUGGUUGGUACUAAUUUAUCUAUCGCAUACGAGGCCUGACAUUGCAUUUGCAGUAAGUGUGGUACGUUAACACAUGCAUUCACCGAAAAAGACUCACUUAGAUGUUGUGUAUAAGAUCCUCAGGUACCUCAAGGGUUUUUUGGAUAAAGGACUCUUUUUCAAGAAAUGUGAAAGCAAGGAAGUAGAAAUCUUCACAGAUGCAGAUUGGGCAGAAUCAGCAGAAGAUAGAAGGUCUACCACCGGGUAUUGCACUUUUGUAUAGGAAAAUUUGAUAACUUGGAGGAGCAAAAAACAAAAUGUAGUGACUCGAAGCAUUGCUGGAGCUAAAUUCAUGGCAAUUACACAAGGGAUAUGUGAAGAACCGUGGUUACAAAAAUUCUUAGAAGAAUUACAAAUCCAGGACUAAACAUGUAGAGGUGGACCGACAUUUUAUCAAAGAGAAGGUUGAAGAAUGAACCAUCUGUAUGACUUAUGUACCUACCAAGGAACAAACUGUAGACAUCUUUACUAAAUGGUUAGUCCGACGGAGCUUCGAUGACUUUAUUGGCAAGUUAGAUAUGAUUAAUAUUUAUAAUCCAACUUGAGGGAGAGUGUAGAAAUACUGAGUAUCUUUAUGUAUCUUGAGUAAAUUAAGAAAGUGUGUAAAUAUAGAAGAUUGUACAUUGGUGAGGGUGAUGUUAGGAUAUUGUUUCCUUAGUUAGAACUUCCGAUUGUAUUAUAUAUUGUAAAUUGAAUUGUACAAAUUCAUUCAAAAAAUACAGAAAUUAUAUUCUGUUUUCA